UACGUAGGGUGCAAGCGUUGUCCGGAAUUAUUGGGCGUAAAGAGCUCGUAGGCGGUUUGUCGCGUCUGCUGUGAAAACCCGAGGCUCAACCUCGGGCCUGCAGUGGGUACGGGCAGACUAGAGUGCGGUAGGGGAGAUUGGAAUUCCUGGUGUAGCGGUGGAAUGCGCAGAUAUCAGGAGGAACACCAAUGGCGAAGGCAGCUCUCUGGUACGUGACUGACACUGAGACGCGAAAGCGUGGGGAGCGAACAGG
This 253-nucleotide ribosomal RNA is filed under the name uncultured bacterium. Its description in RNAcentral is "partial 16S ribosomal RNA". It matches the Rfam family "Bacterial small subunit ribosomal RNA", at positions 524 to 776 of the family's 1533-position model. The record is from RNAcentral.